UACGGAGGAUCCAAGCGUUAUCCGGAUUUAUUGGGUUUAAAGGGUGCGUAGGCGGAAUGAUAAGUCAGUGGUGAAAGCCUGCAGCUUAACUGCAGAACUGCCAUUGAUACUGUCAAUCUUGAGUACAUUUGAUGUGGGCGGAAUGUGUCAUGUAGCGGUGAAAUGCUUAGAUAUGACACAGAACACCGAUUGCGAAGGCAGCUCACA
Molecule: ribosomal RNA, 207 nt
Filed under: uncultured bacterium
Lineage: Bacteria
Description: partial 16S ribosomal RNA
Rfam family: Bacterial small subunit ribosomal RNA
Source: RNAcentral